CAGGGAGACAACAAAAUGUUUAAUAUUAUUAUUUUGUCACCUUAGGUCGAUCGGUAUCUCGCAUUUUUAAUUUAUUAAAAAUUUCAAUUCCUAAGUUUUUCUAGGUCACACCCAUUAUUUUUCCUGGGCCAUUAGCUCAGGUGGUUAGAGCGCACCCCUGAUAAGGGUGAGGUCCCUGGUUCAAGUCCAGGAUGGCCCAUAUCUCUAUGUUGGGGGUAUAGCUCAGUUGGUAGAGCGCCUGCUUUGCAAGCAGGAUGUCAGCGGUUCGAGUCCGCUUACCUCCACUGAUUACCACCUCUUCCAUAUUUUUUAGAAAGGAAAAUUUUUGUGUUGUGAUCAAAAUCUGAACGAAUCUAGCUUCCUAAUUAAAGUAUUAAGAUGCUGGACUCAUUGAAUUAAUUUCAUUGUUUUCAGAGAACCUUGACAACUGCAUAGAUUUUUUUUAAAGACAAUAAGCAUUUUUAAUGAUGCAGAUUUAUUAUUUUUGCGAAUGCAUUAAUAACAAUUCUAUUAAGCUGAUGCUUCAAUUAUGAAGUUAUU
This 540-nucleotide transfer RNA is filed under the name uncultured cyanobacterium. RNAcentral's name for it is "partial 16S-23S ribosomal RNA intergenic spacer". The stretch from base 212 to 284 matches the Rfam family "tRNA". The record is from RNAcentral. Lineage: Bacteria; Bacillati; Cyanobacteriota.